CAGAGAGACAUGAACCAGAGUUCUUUACUUGCUUUUUUGAUUGGGAUGUUUCAAAAUCACAGAUGGAUGGAAAUUCAUUUGAGAGAAAGCUUGCACUACUAAAGGGAGAAAAGAAGUUGGAGGCAAGUGUCCUGAAACCUUCCGGCAUUAUCAAUUACACAUCUUUCAGACUGAUUAUCCCUAAAGAGUCUGGUUAUAGUCAUGCAUAAGUUAUUCAUUUUAGUUAUUAUUUUGAAGCCCAAGAACAGUUAGUUUAUGCCUCUAAAAUGUAUCCUUUGUCUAGACACCUCUGAGGACCUCAAGCGGGAUAUAUGCUUCUGAAUAUUACUGAAGUGGUUCAAGCAGCAAAUCUGGAUAUUCUAAGGUGGGGAAAGAACAUUGCUUCAUCUAAAACACGAACUACAAAACGUGCUGGUGUAGCAGUUUAUUACAGAUCUUCAUCUUUGGAAACACUGGGAGUCGAUUGGAAGAAAGUCAGCACGACCUUAAUUAAGGUUUGUAAUGCAUGAUCUAAAGGGAGCUAAGUGGCCGGAUUAGAGAAAUUUGUUAGACUAGCUCUCUAGCCUUUUGUCUUUAUUUGUUAAUAUUAGUUUUAAUUUGUUAGACUAGCUAG
Spinacia oleracea (spinach) is the source of this 613-nucleotide long non-coding RNA. RefSeq lists it as uncharacterized. The transcript is spliced from 4 exons. The record is from RefSeq and is a predicted model, not a curated record. Lineage: Eukaryota; Viridiplantae; Streptophyta; Magnoliopsida; Caryophyllales; Amaranthaceae.